This 182-nucleotide ribosomal RNA is filed under the name uncultured bacterium. RNAcentral describes it as "partial 16S ribosomal RNA". It matches the Rfam family "Bacterial small subunit ribosomal RNA", at positions 1319 to 1500 of the family's 1533-position model. The record is from RNAcentral.
CAUGAAGCUGGAAUCGCUAGUAAUCGCGGAUCAGAAUGCCGCGGUGAAUACGUUCCCGGGUCUUGUACACACCGCCCGUCACACCAUGGGAGUCGGAAAUGCCCGAAGUCAGUGACCCAACCGUAAGGAGGGAGCUGCCGAAGGUGGAGCCGGUAACUGGGGUGAAGUCGUAACAAGGUAAC